CUAAAAAGGUCGGGAGGAAGGUGGGGAUGACGUCAAAUCAUCAUGCCCCUUAUGACCUGGGCUACACACGUGCUACAAUGGGCGGUACAAAGGGUCGCGAACCCGCGAGGGGGAGCCAAUCCCAAAAAGCCGCUCUCAGUUCGGAUUGCAGGCUGCAACUCGCCUGCAUGAAGCCGGAAUCGCUAGUAAUCGCGGAUCAGCAUGCCGCGGUGAAUACGUUCCCGGGCCUU
Molecule: ribosomal RNA, 230 nt
Filed under: uncultured Anoxybacillus sp.
Lineage: Bacteria; Bacillati; Bacillota; Bacilli; Caryophanales; Anoxybacillaceae
Description: partial 16S ribosomal RNA
Rfam family: Bacterial small subunit ribosomal RNA
Source: RNAcentral